GCUUUUAGGCAGCAAAUACUACAUAAAGUCUCCUGCACUUGAACACUACAGUCAACUCAGCAACUAUUUCUGCUCUCUGACUUUUGCAGUGUUUAGUUGCUUCAGGUGGAAAGAUGUUGAGAAUCUUCGUCAAGUUCUUCCUGGUUGCUGUGUUGUGCAUUUGCUGGACCCAUGGACGCGUAGGUGAAGCUCCUUUGAAGAAUGACCUUGAGAAUGUCCCAAUGCAAAACAGGGCAACAGUGCGUGUUUGCUUGCCCGUUGGGAUAUGGGUUACAGACCCAGGGAUGGUGGAUUGGUGCAGGAAUAAUUGCUUUAACAAUCCUCCAUACUGCCCCGCAACUUACUGCGAAUGUAAGGAUUACGAUUGCUAGCAGGUCCGCUUCGGAUAUCACUUUUGCAGUUGCAACAUAAACUGCAAAAAGGAUCAGAGAUUUUUGGCAACUGACCAUCCGUAUGUCAAUGUGUUUCAGAUUGUGUUCAUAUUUGAUGUUAUUCUAAAUGAGAAAAUUAUUUUGCAAAUUUUGUUUGGUAAAUAGAUUGUAAUAUUAAGCUUUUAACUUAUAAUUAAUUCUAAAUCUGUCAUAAAAUGAUGAUUUAUAAUGUUUGGGAAACGAUGCACAUCGUUUUUUAUUGAACAAUUAUUGUAUUCUUUUGGAUUUUUUUAGUUAAUAAAAUAUUGAUUAUUUAUGAAUUAAAACUGAAUGCAGCACAA
Long non-coding RNA from Macrobrachium nipponense, 712 nucleotides. RefSeq lists it as uncharacterized. Lineage: Eukaryota; Metazoa; Arthropoda; Malacostraca; Decapoda; Palaemonidae. The record is from RefSeq and is a predicted model, not a curated record. The transcript is spliced from 4 exons.